GAUAAACGCUGGCGGCGUGCAUAACACAUGCAAGUCGAACGAUGAAGCUUAAAUGAUCUCUUCGGAGUGACCUUAAGUGGAUUAGUGGCGGACGGGUGAGUAACGCGUGAGUAACCUGCCUUGCACAAGGGGAUAGCCGUUGGAAACGACGAAUAAUACCCUAUGAUAUGAUAGUCUCGCAUGAAGCUAUCAUCAAAGAUUUAUCGGUGUAAGAUGGACUCGCGUCUGAUUAGCUAGUUGGUGGGGUAAUAGCCUACCAAGGCAACGAUCAGUAGCCGGCUUGAGAGAGUGUACGGCCACAUUGGGACUGAGACACGGCCCAGACUCCUACGGGAGGCAGCAGUGGGGAAUUUUGCACAAUGGGGGAAACCCUGAUGCAGCGACGCCGCGUGAUUUAGAAGGCCUUCGGGUUGUAAAAAUCUUUUGUAUGGGAAGAAAAUGACAGUACCAUACGAAUAAGGACCGGCUAAUUACGUGCCAGCAGCCGCGGUAAUACGUAAGGUCCGAGCGUUGUCCGGAAUCAUUGGGCGUAAAGGGUACGUAGGCGGAUAAGCAAGUUAGAAGUGAAAUCCUAUAGCUCAACUAUAGUAAGCUUUUAAAACUGCUCAUCUUGAGGUAUGGAAGGGGAAGUGGAAUUCCUAGUGUAGCGGUGAAAUGCGCAGAUAUUAGGAGGAAUACCGGUGGCGAAGGCGACUUUCUGGCCAUAAACUGACGCUGAGGUACGAAAGCGUGGGUAGCAAACAGG
This 745-nucleotide ribosomal RNA is filed under the name uncultured Anaerococcus sp. RNAcentral's name for it is "bacterial SSU rRNA". It matches the Rfam family "Bacterial small subunit ribosomal RNA", at positions 28 to 776 of the family's 1533-position model. The record is from RNAcentral. Lineage: Bacteria; Bacillati; Bacillota; Tissierellia; Tissierellales; Peptoniphilaceae.